CGCCCCACGCUCUCAGGCGGCUCCCGGCGUGCUGCGCGCGUAUGCGGCCAUGUUGAGGGGCAAUGUUCCACAGCAGCACGCAGCGCCGGCACUGGAUCUUCCAUGGCGAGGAGGAACUGGCGCGGCGCCGCGCUGAGGGGAACCGCCGGGCCCGAGCCAGGGCGGCGGCCAGCGGGAAGGUGCCGCAGGGCGACCCGGUGCUGCUGGAGCCGCAUGAGGAGCUGGCGCUAUGCAAGUACUACGAGAAGAGGCUGCUGGACUUCUGCGCCGCAUUCAAACCCGCGAUGCCGCGGUCCGUUGUGGGAACAGCUUGCAUGUAUUUCAAACGUUUUUACCUCAAUAACUCAGUGAUGGAGCAUCAUCCUCGGAUAAUAAUGCUAACAUGCACAUUUUUGGCCUGUAAAGUAGAUGAAUUUAAUGUAUCCAGUGCACAGUUUGUUGGUAACCUUCGAGAAAGUCCUGUUGGACAGGAAAAAGUUCUUGAACAAAUACUGGAAUAUGAACUGCUACUUAUUCAGCAACUGAACUUCCAUCUCAUCAUUCACAAUCCAUACAGGCCAUUUGAGGGAUUUCUAAUUGAUAUUAAGACUCGCUAUCCAGUGCUGGAAAAUCCUGAAGUUUUGAGGAAAACAGCUGAUGACUUCCUUAACCGAGUGGCUCUGACAGAUGCGUAUCUGCUCUUUACUCCCUCACAGAUUGCUCUCACUGCCAUAUUAUCUAGUGGCUCAAGAGCAGGAAUUAAUAUGGAAAGCUAUUUAUCAGAAAGUCUUACGCUGAAAGAGGACAGAUCAAUCUUAUCCAGAUUACUAGAUGAAAUGAAAUGCAUGAAAAAUCUCAUUAAAAAAUAUGAACUGCCAAGGCCUGAAGAGAUUGCUGCUCUAAAACAGAAGUUAGAGAAGUGUCACAGCUUGGACUUCUCAUUUAAUACAAACCCGAAGAAGAGGAAAGGUUAUGAAGAUGAUGAAUAUGUCACAAAGAAAUGUAAAAUGGAUGAGGAAGAGUGGACUGAUGAUGAUCUUGUGGAUUCAGCAUUACUUUGAAGGAAGAUGGACUCCUACCACUGCAGGAACUACCCUGUGGUGUCAGGUGUGACUGCCUGCCACAGGCUCCUUAUUAUGUGUCAUAAGGUCUUUGUGCUGUUAGCUACCUUGGCACUAAAGCCUUUUACUUUCCUAAAAUAAAAAGUUGUAGUUCCAUUAAACCCUCAUCCAUUACAGGUCUAACACUAGCAAGAUUUGCUUUGAGAAAUCUCACCCUUGUUUUUGGUUCAGAAACAGUUUGCUGUGUCUGCAAUGUAGUGUUAUAAGCACCAGCUGAUUUAUUUUUUAUACACCCAGUUAAGAGUUCUACAAUAUGCACACCUACAUGCAGCUUUGGGUUUCAUUUCAGCCCCGUUUCAUUCCCUUUGCUGCAUUUUGUGUGUAACAGGUAAAUUAGGUAGGCAGCUCUGUCUUCCAGUUUGUAGUUACCAUGUUAUAUUGCCUGUACCAUAGCAACCAAAUCCACAAAAUAAUCCCUUUUACACACUCUGUCCAAGAUUUAAGUAGGACACACUGAAAGGUAAAUUACUUACUCGUCUGAGAUGCAGUUUAACAUAGACUUGAUAUGGUUAUGGGACAAUCUAAGAAAAAGACUUCUCUAGUAACAAGGUGUUGCAAACACAUGUAUUGUCACUAGGGAAGGGCAUCACGUGUGUCUGUCUGCCCAGUGCCAUACAUAUGAUAUUUAGGAGCUUUCACCUUCAAGAAGCUGUUCCAGCUGGAGACCAGGGCAACACAGGGAGAGCCACUUUAAUAUUACAGCAAAGGUGCAAAAGCAAAGUCUCUGAUUUUAUGUGACAGAGAUUUGGCAGUUCUGGUCGACAGGAAGAACACUCUAGGUGUUGUAAAGGUUUGCAACAGUGUUUGUAUGAUAAAAUUAUUCAAGCAGUUAUCUCAGUCUUGUCAGUGAAUCCUUUUAUUCCCUAUUAUAUCACUGCCUAGAACAGAAGACACAGUGAUGAUGAAGUACUCUUUAAAUCAACAGCACAUUUUACUCCUCAAUUUUUUAACCGUUUAUAGCAGUGCAAUGGGCAGGAACACCUUCCACUAGACAAGUUUGCUCCAAGCCUCAUCCAACGCCACCUUCAACACUUCUUGGGAUUGGGGCUUCUCUGGCAUUCUGCCAGUGCCUCACCCCACUCACAGGGAAGAAUUCCCUUUUACUAAAUCUCAACCUAUGUAUGGAGUUUUAGCAUCUGCUUUCUCACCCACUGCUGUACAAAUUAAGGCAUAAGGAGAAGGUAAUGCUGUCUGAGGACUCAUGCUCAAAAAGUGACACAUUGUAACCACUGCAAAGUAUGCCACAUUGCAGACACUAAAAAAUUUCCACAGUAGCCAUUCAGCUAGUUUCCAUAGAGUUAGAAAUAUGUAGCUUGAUUUAUUUUAAAAACUUACUUUUCACUUACAAAAAUAUUUAUGCUAGACUUACAAAAAGACCAAACAAUACCUAUUUUAUAAAAUGGUUUAAUGAAUGCAUGCAUGUCUGAUAUAAUCAAUAAAUUUACUGAAUUCAAAUUAUUUACUGUUGUAAACGUUUUACAAAAGCAUUGUGAUUUAUCUGGAUAUACAGUUCUUGAUGGAAAAACUAUUCCGACUGAAUCAGUGGCACAUCAGAAAAAUAAAGCUGACAAGAUCCAUUCUGGAUAUUCUCUUUCAACAUCAUUCCAGCAAGAGAAACAGCAUGGUAUAAAACGUGUACAGUAAAGGUUGUUCCUACCAUAACAUCAAAUUCUGGAAAAAGUAAAUAAAAGUUAAAAGUGGUUGAAACAGUCAAAAGUCAUAGUUAUUGUAACCAGUCAGAAAUUACAGUAAGAAAUGUUAUCCAGUUAGUUAUAGGUGGUUGUCAGAACAACGCCUUUCUUCUCAUGUCAGUUGAUAAUUCUUUUCCAAUCAGACAGCAAAAACUUUGGCAAUCAGAGGUGCUGAAAAUUUCGAAGUCCUAGACACAGUCACAGCAUUUUCUCUCAGAAGGUGAACUGUACACGAAGGCUCAGAGGUUGUGAAAUUUCAUUGUUUCCAAGUGGAAAAAAAAAAAGUGCAUAUGUCCUGCACAGAUAGCUUAAAAAAAGCUGCUGGUACAAUCAUUCACCAACAGGACCUUUGUUUUCUUUUGCAUAGUUCACACAUCACUGGGAAUGUGACAGGGUGUGCUAUUUUUGGCAAGAGCAAGAAGGAAGUGAUACUGGUGAGAGUUGCCAUGUUGGGUGUGCUGGAUCCAUGCAGAAUUCAGGCAUGUGUUUUGUGAUGGUACUGCAAUUUGUAGUGCUGGAAGGAUUCUUACUACAAGACCUGGUAUUGCUCUGCCUUUGAGCUGACCAGAAACCUACAGCAUUCCAAGACUCGAACCCUCUAAAUGAAGGGAAGAGCCAUCCAUUAGGAGCUUUUUUUUUUAAUCUAAAUGAGAGAAAAUCAACAAAAUUCAGCAAAAUCUGCUAUUACCUAUCAAGUUACUCAUUAAACUGAUGAUAAAUCAAUAAUGCUGCAAUUAAAACAGCAGAAUAAUCCAACACGUAUUUUCAAACCAACAGUUAGCCAAAACCUCAUGUAAAACCUGUCAUUUAAAGAAAUCUGAUGUAUCAUAAUACACAGAAGUUGCUAUUUAAUCAGAAAAGGAUGACAUCUGGAACCUACCCAAAUGCCACACUUUUUAAGUAUUCUGAGAUGUCUUCUAGGGUGUUUCUAAAAGAUUAAUUCAGGAUGCUUACCAUAUUUUUUUCAUCUCACUUCUAAAAAUUAAUUAUUUCAUUUAAAAUACAUAUAUAUAAAACAUGAGAACCUAAUUCCUGUUACAACAAUCACACCCACAAAAUAGUCACGUGUUACAAGGAUACAAUGACAGCAUUUCACUUUCAAACUACAAUAUGUAGAAUGCACACAGUGAAGCUUUUGCCAGUGCUAACUGAAAUUCAUGCUAGUAUUACUUCUUUAAAGAAAAAUUACUUUCAAUAUCUGAUCAAAACCAUGUAAUAAGUUAUAUAUAAAAACUUCUGGUUUAAAAA
Molecule: RNA transcript, 4039 nt
Organism: Passer montanus (Eurasian tree sparrow)
Lineage: Eukaryota; Metazoa; Chordata; Aves; Passeriformes; Passeridae
Gene: CCNH
Gene name: cyclin H
Exons: 10
Source: RefSeq, a predicted model, not a curated record